This 1280-nucleotide long non-coding RNA is filed under the name Pan paniscus (pygmy chimpanzee). Its description in RNAcentral is "lncRNA (ENSPPAG00000044329.1)". The record is from RNAcentral. Lineage: Eukaryota; Metazoa; Chordata; Mammalia; Primates; Hominidae.
UGUGCCGCAGGGGAGGAGACACAUGGACUUGUGCUGGGCUCACAGCUUCCUAAGCAAAAACAGCAAAGACCACUCCCAGCCUCCUCCAACCACAGGGCGGCUGUGCUGGUGGGAAAGGUGGUGUGUGUGUCUAUGUGUGUGCAUGUGGGGUACAUGCUUGUGGCGUGCACUCAUGUGGCAUGCACUCGUGGCAUGUGUGAUACGGUGUGUGUAGUGUGUGGUGUCUGUGGUCUGUGUAUGGUUUGUGUGUGUGUGUGAUGUGCUGUGGUAUGUAUGGUGUAUGUGUGUAUGUUUGUGUGUGAUUUGCUAUGGUGUGGUGUGUAUCAUUUGUGUGUGUGGUUUGCUCCUUUGUGGUGUGUAUGCUUUGUGUUUGUGCGUGUGGUGUGCUCUGCUGUAGUGUGUAUGGUUUGUGUNNNNNNNNNNNNNNNNNNNNGUGGUGUGUAUGGUUUGUGUGUGUGCUGUGCUGUGGUGUGUAUAGUUUGUGUUGUGUGUGUGCUGUGCUAUGGUGUGUAUGGUUUGUGUGUGUGUGUUCUGUGCUAUGGUGUGUAUGGUUUGUGUGUGUCUGUGUGCUGUGCUGUGGUGUGUAUGAUUUGUGUGUGUGUGUGCUGUGCUGUGGUGUGUAUGGUUUGUGUGUGUGCUGUGCUGUGGUGUGUAUGAUGUGUGUGUGUGUAUGUAUAUGUGGCAUGCUGUGGUGUGUGUGUGUCCCAAGCUGCACAGGGUUGUCACACAGCCCGAGUGCCCUGGUCCCUGCGUUCUUUGUAAUCACAGCCAUGGCAUCUGAGUGUGGCUGGGAGGGAGGCCACCUGCCUGCUUUCCGAGGAUCUCAGCUUUGGGGUGGUAUCAGGGGUGACAGAUGCCCCAGGCGUCUUCUCUCCAGGAGUCAGGGUGGGGUCUCCGAGAGAACAGCACUCAUUGUGAUGAGUGGUUCUGCUUUCUUCCCAGGCCGCCUGCUGUGGGCAGUGAGUGGAAUUUCCCAAGGCUGGCCGGCUUUAGUGUGGCUGUGCGGGAGGGCACAGCAGCAGCACCUGGGCCCACGGAGCUGCCGGAGCUGGGCCCCACUGCCCCCAGCCGCUUGCCCUGCCAGGGAAGGAAACGCCCAGGACUCUUCUGCCCUAACUUCCCCAUGUCUUUGCUCUGGUCAAGGAGAGCAUUUGCCUUGCCACUAUUACAUCUCCAUGGAAGGUAAAGGCAUGAUGUGUCUCCUUGUAGCAGGAUUGGGCCUGGAUUCUCACUGUGGAAUGGAAAAUCUUGUCCCCUGGUGGAAGCUUUCAACCAGGUGA